UGCUCUGUAGCUUAGUUGGCAAAGCACUCGUCUAGCAUACAAGAGUCGUGGGUUCGAAUCACACCUGAGCAC
This is a non-coding RNA of Aedes aegypti (yellow fever mosquito), 72 nucleotides long. The record is from Rfam. NCBI's taxonomy places the organism in Eukaryota, Metazoa, Arthropoda, Insecta, Diptera, Culicidae.